This 427-nucleotide ribosomal RNA is filed under the name uncultured bacterium. Its description in RNAcentral is "bacterial SSU rRNA". It matches the Rfam family "Bacterial small subunit ribosomal RNA", at positions 355 to 774 of the family's 1533-position model. The record is from RNAcentral.
UGGGGAAUUUUGGACAAUGGGCGCAAGCCUGAUCCAGCAAUGCCGCGCGCAGGAUGAAGGCCUUCGGGUUGUAAACUGCUUUUGUACGGAGCGAAACGGUUUUCUCUAAUACAGAGAGCUAAUGACGGUACCGUAAGAAUAAGCACCGGCUAACUACGUGCCAGCAGCCGCGGUAAUACGUAGGGUGCGAGCGUUAAUCGGAAUUACUGGGCGUAAAGCGUGCGCAGGCGGUAAUGCAAGACAGAUGUGAAAUCCCCGGGCUUAACCUGGGAACUGUAUUUGUGACUGCAUUGCUGGAGUGCGGCAGAGGGGGAUGGAAUUCCGCGUGUAGCAGUGAAAUGCGUAGAUAUGCGGAGGAACACCGAUGGUGAAGGCAAUCCCCUGGGCCUGCACUGACGCUCAUGCACGAAAGCGUGGGGAGCAAACA